RNAcentral lists this ribosomal RNA (482 nucleotides) under Salmonella enterica. Its description in RNAcentral is "partial 23S ribosomal RNA". It matches the Rfam family "Bacterial large subunit ribosomal RNA", at positions 82 to 601 of the family's 2925-position model. The record is from RNAcentral. RNAcentral also lists the same sequence under 1 other name. Lineage: Bacteria; Pseudomonadati; Pseudomonadota; Gammaproteobacteria; Enterobacterales; Enterobacteriaceae.
UAAGGUGAUAUGAACCGUUAUAACCGGCGAUACCCGAAUGGGGAAACCCAGUGUGACUCGUCACACUAUCAUUAACUGAAUCCAUAGGUUAAUGAGGCGAACCGGGGGAACUGAAACAUCUAAGUACCCCGAGGAAAAGAAAUCAACCGAGAUUCCCCCAGUAGCGGCGAGCGAACGGGGAGGAGCCCAGAGCCUGAAUCAGCAUGUGUGUUAGUGGAAGCGUCUGGAAAGGCGCGCGAUACAGGGUGACAGCCCCGUACACAAAAGCGCAUGUGCUGUGAGCUCGAUGAGUAGGGCGGGACACGUGGUAUCCUGUCUGAAUAUGGGGGGACCAUCCUCCAAGGCUAAAUACUCCUGACUGACCGAUAGUGAACCAGUACCGUGAGGGAAAGGCGAAAAGAACCCCGGCGAGGGGAGUGAAAAAGAACCUGAAACCGUGUACGUACAAGCAGUGGGAGCACAGGUUUACCUGUGUGACUGCG